Molecule: unclassified non-coding RNA, 299 nt
Filed under: Clonostachys sp.
Lineage: Eukaryota; Fungi; Ascomycota; Sordariomycetes; Hypocreales; Bionectriaceae
Description: partial contains 5.8S ribosomal RNA, internal transcribed spacer 2, and large subunit ribosomal RNA
Rfam family: 5.8S ribosomal RNA (bases 1-71)
Source: RNAcentral
GUGAAUCAUCGAAUCUUUGAACGCACAUUGCGCCCGCCAGUAUUCUGGCGGGCAUGCCUGUCUGAGCGUCAUUUCAACCCUCAUGCCCCUAGGGCGUGGUGUUGGGGAUCGGCCAAAGCCCGCGAGGGACGGCCGGCCCCUAAAUCUAGUGGCGGACCCGUCGUGGCCUCCUCUGCGAAGUAGUGAUAUUCCGCAUCGGAGAGCGACGAGCCCCUGCCGUUAAACCCCCAACUUUCCAAGGUUGACCUCAGAUCAGGUAGGAAUACCCGCUGAACUUAAGCAUAUCAAUAAGCGGAGGA